GCGUUGGUGGUUCAGUGGUAGAAUUCUCACCUUCCAUGCGGGAGACCUGGCUUCAAUUCCUGGCCAGAGCA
Molecule: transfer RNA, 71 nt
Filed under: Loxodonta africana (African savanna elephant)
Lineage: Eukaryota; Metazoa; Chordata; Mammalia; Proboscidea; Elephantidae
Rfam family: tRNA
About the family: Transfer RNA (tRNA) molecules are approximately 80 nucleotides in length.
Source: Rfam by way of RNAcentral